UUAAACUGAAGAGUUUGAUCCUGGCUCAGAUUG
RNAcentral lists this ribosomal RNA (33 nucleotides) under Janthinobacterium sp. OK676. Its description in RNAcentral is "16S rRNA. Bacterial SSU". The record is from RNAcentral. Lineage: Bacteria; Pseudomonadati; Pseudomonadota; Betaproteobacteria; Burkholderiales; Oxalobacteraceae.